UAGAGUUUGAUCCUGGCUCAGGAUGAACGCUAGCGGCAGGCCUAAUACAUGCAAGUCGAGGGGUAAGAGUCAGCUUGCUGACUACACGACCGGCGCACGGGUGCGUAACGCGUAUGCAACCUACCUUUAACAGAGGAAUAGCCCCGAGAAAUCGGGAUUAAUACCACAUAACAUUAUGAUAUGGCAUCAUAUUAUAAUUAAAACUCCGGUGGUUAAAGAUGGGCAUGCGUGACAUUAGCUAGUUGGUGAGGUAACUGCUCACCAAGGCUACGAUGUCUAGGGGUUCUGAGAGGAUGAUCCCCCACACUGGUACUGAGACACGGACCAGACUCCUACGGGAGGCAGCAGUAAGGAAUAUUGCGCAAUGGAGGCAACUCUGACGCAGCCAUGCCGCGUGCAGGAUUGAAGGCCUUAUGGGUCGUAAACUGCUUUUAUUUAGGAAUAAACUUUCGUACGUGU
RNAcentral lists this ribosomal RNA (459 nucleotides) under uncultured marine bacterium. RNAcentral's name for it is "bacterial SSU rRNA". It matches the Rfam family "Bacterial small subunit ribosomal RNA", at positions 1 to 463 of the family's 1533-position model. The record is from RNAcentral.